RNAcentral lists this ribosomal RNA (428 nucleotides) under uncultured prokaryote. RNAcentral's name for it is "bacterial SSU rRNA". It matches the Rfam family "Bacterial small subunit ribosomal RNA", at positions 355 to 774 of the family's 1533-position model. The record is from RNAcentral.
UGAGGAAUCUUGCGCAAUGGGGGAAACCCUGACGCAGCAACGCCGCGUGAGUGAGGAAGGCCUUCGGGUCGUAAAGCUCUGUCAGAUGGGAAGAAACGACUGUAAGCCAAUACCUUGCAGUCUUGACGGUACCAUCAGAGGAAGCACCGGCUAACUCCGUGCCAGCAGCCGCGGUAAUACGGGGGGUGCAAGCGUUGUUCGGAAUCAUUGGGCGUAAAGCGCGCGCAGGCGGCUUGGUAAGUCAGAUGUGAAAGCCCUGGGCUUAACCCAGGAAGUGCAUUUGAAACUGCCUCGCUAGAGUUCGGGAGAGGAAAGUGGAAUUCCUGGUGUAGAGGUGAAAUUCGUAGAUAUCAGGAGGAACACCGGUGGCGAAGGCGACUUUCUGGCCCGAUACUGACGCUCAGGCGCGAAAGCGUGGGGAGCAAACA